This 455-nucleotide ribosomal RNA is filed under the name uncultured bacterium. Its description in RNAcentral is "bacterial SSU rRNA". It matches the Rfam family "Bacterial small subunit ribosomal RNA", at positions 340 to 786 of the family's 1533-position model. The record is from RNAcentral.
UACGGGAGGCAGCAGUGGGGAAUAUUGCACAAUGGGCGAAAGCCUGAUGCAGCUAUGCCGCGUGUAUGAAGAAGGCCUUAGGGUUGUAAAGUACUUUCAUCGGGGAGGAAAAAACAAAACUAAUAAUUUUAUUUCUUGACGUUACCCGAAAAAGAAGCACCGGCUAACUCCGUGCCAGCAGCCGCGGUAAUACGGAGGGUGCUAGCGUUAAUCAGAAUUACUGGGUGUAAAGAGCACGUAGGUGGUUUUUUAAGUCAGAUGUGAAAUCCCUGGGCUUAACCUAGGAACUGCAUUUUGAAACUGAAAUACUAGAGUAUCGUAGAGGGAGGUAGAAUUCUAGGUGUAGCGGUGAAAUGCGUAGAUAUCUGGAGGAAUACCUGUGGCGAAAGCGGCCUCCUAAACGAAUACUGACACUGAGGUGCGAAAGCGUGGGGAGCAAACAGGGAUUAGAUACC